Molecule: ribosomal RNA, 400 nt
Filed under: uncultured bacterium
Lineage: Bacteria
Description: bacterial SSU rRNA
Rfam family: Bacterial small subunit ribosomal RNA
Source: RNAcentral
GGGGAAUAUUGCACAAUGGAGGAAACUCUGAUGCAGCAACGCCGCGUGAGUGAUGAAGGUCUUCGGAUUGUAAAGCUCUGUCUUCUGGGACGAUAAUGACGGUACCAGAGGAGGAAGCCACGGCUAACUACGUGCCAGCAGCCGCGGUAAUACGUAGGUGGCAAGCGUUGUCCGGAUUUACUGGGCGUAAAGGAUGUGUAGGCGGAUAUUUAAGUGAGAUGUGAAAUCCCCGGGCUUAACUUGGGGGCUGCAUUUCAAACUGGAUGUCUGGAGUGCAGGAGAGGAGAACGGAAUUCCUAGUGUAGCGGUGAAAUGCGUAGAGAUUAGGAAGAAUACCAGUGGCGAAGGCGGCUCUCUGGGCUGUAACUGACGCUGAGGCGCGAAAGCGUGGGGAGCAAAC